RNAcentral lists this transfer RNA (71 nucleotides) under Nippostrongylus brasiliensis. It matches the Rfam family "tRNA". From Rfam's summary of the family: Transfer RNA (tRNA) molecules are approximately 80 nucleotides in length. Their secondary structure includes four short double-helical elements and three loops (D, anti-codon, and T loops). Lineage: Eukaryota; Metazoa; Nematoda; Chromadorea; Rhabditida; Heligmosomidae. The record is from Rfam by way of RNAcentral.
GUCUCAGUGGCAUAGCGGUCAGUGCACAGCCCGGAUAUUUUGAGACGCGGUUUCGAAUCCCGCCUGAGAUG